GACGAACGCUGGCGGCGUGCUUAACACAUGCAAGUCGAACGGAAAGGCCCGGCUUUUGUGGGGUGCUCGAUUGGCGAACGGGUGAGUAACACGUGAGUAACCUGCCCUUGACUUUGGGAUAACUUCAGGAAACUGGGGCUAAUACCGGAUAGGAGCUCCUGCUGCAUGUUGGUGGUUGGAAAGUUUCGGCGGUUGUGGAUGUACUCGCGGCUUAUCAGCUUGUUAGUGUGGUAGGGGCUUACCAAGGCUUUGACGGGUAGCCGGCCUGAGAGGGUGACCGGGGACAUUAGGACUGCGAUACGGAGCAGACGGCUACGGGAGGCAGCAGUGGGGAGUCUGGCAGAAUGGGCGGAAGCCAGAUGUAGAAGUGUCGGGUGCGGGAUGCCGGGUUUCGAGUUGAAAACAAAUUUCGAAUGAGCUGAAGAGUGAGUGACGGUAACGAGUCAAGAAGCAACGGCUAACUACGUG
This 468-nucleotide ribosomal RNA is filed under the name uncultured bacterium. RNAcentral's name for it is "partial 16S ribosomal RNA". It matches the Rfam family "Bacterial small subunit ribosomal RNA", at positions 28 to 507 of the family's 1533-position model. The record is from RNAcentral.